CUGGAGUGCCCCUCUUUCUCUUCAUGCUCCCAUCUGGCUGUUUUUAAGACUGACCUCAAGACCCUCCUCUCUGGGACAUUUCUGACCACGGGACCAAGGACUUGAAUGCGGGACUUCGGAUCUUGGCUGAGGCCUCUGGUCCGACAUUCAGUCUUCUGUCAUCCAUUUCGUAUAAGGAGAAGAUGUCCACUGGUUUUAAAGGGAACCAUAAUGAAAUUGUUCCAUAGGACUCAUGUGUUUGUUAUCAUUAAAAGCCGUUUGCUCAG
RNAcentral lists this long non-coding RNA (266 nucleotides) under Mustela putorius furo (domestic ferret). Its description in RNAcentral is "lncRNA (ENSMPUG00000026872.1)". Lineage: Eukaryota; Metazoa; Chordata; Mammalia; Carnivora; Mustelidae. The record is from RNAcentral.